RNAcentral lists this ribosomal RNA (253 nucleotides) under uncultured bacterium. RNAcentral's name for it is "partial 16S ribosomal RNA". It matches the Rfam family "Bacterial small subunit ribosomal RNA", at positions 524 to 776 of the family's 1533-position model. The record is from RNAcentral.
UACGUAGGGUGCGAGCGUUAAUCGGAAUUACUGGGCGUAAAGCGUGCGCAGGCGGCUUUGCAAGACAGAUGUGAAAGCCCCGGGCUCAACCUGGGAAUUGCAUUUGAAACUGGGAAACUAGAGUGUGUGAGAGGGGGGUAGAAUUCCGCGUGUAGCAGUGAAAUGCGUAGAUAUGCGGAGGAACACCGAUGGCGAAGGCAAUCCCCUGGACCUGUACUGACGCUCAUGCACGAAAGCGUGGGGAGCAAACAGG